GGCGCGUUGCAUGUUGGUGCGAAAGCACGUUGCUUGUUAGCGUGAAAGCGCGAAGGUGCGUUGCUUGUUGGCGUGACGGCGUGUUGUGACUAACGCGCAGCCCUAUCCAGACACCAUACAAUUUGCCAUCCUCGUAUUUAUUUUAGUCUUAUUUAAAAAUUCCAUCUAGCUGCAUUCUAUGAAGGAUAGAUCAGUUGUGUUUUUCUCAGAUAACUACAGUUUUGAAACUUUCUAACCCAUUAGGCAUUUGAACGACUGACUACAUGAAAAACAAAUACACAAUAACGGACAAUAAAGAUUGUUCUUGUCCUGUGGGUAACAUGCUUGAGGGAGGUGACCAUCCUACAUUGAUCAAGUGCCUUUUUUGGGGAAUUGGAAACUGUGACUGUGAGAUGUAUGAGAGUUUGACUUCUAGGCGGGCAAUUCUACUUUCACUUUAAACGGAAAGUUGAAAAGAGCAUGCUGCAUCUUUGAUGUAAAAUAUAUCGAAAAGGAAUCAAGGACCCUAUUGCAAAUUUGGCCUUUUUUGGAAAGGGUGGCGGUGCCUGAGUGUAUCUCAACCCAUUUCCAGGCUAGCUUCAGAUGUCAUGAUGGACCUUUUAAAAUCUUUCACAUGUGUACUUUCAAGAACCAUAUACAUCAUUUUUGAAAAUUGGUUGCCAAGGUAAUAAAAUAUAAAAAUCAAAA
This is a long non-coding RNA of Ostrea edulis (European flat oyster), 687 nucleotides long. RefSeq lists it as uncharacterized. The transcript is spliced from 3 exons. The record is from RefSeq and is a predicted model, not a curated record. Lineage: Eukaryota; Metazoa; Mollusca; Bivalvia; Ostreida; Ostreidae.